UACGUAGGGGGCGAGCGUUGUCCGGAAUCAUUGGGCGUAAAGCGCGCGUAGGCGGCCCGGUAAGUCCGCUGUAAAAGUCAAAGGCUUAACCUUUGAAUGUCAGUGGAUACUGCCGGGCUAGAGUCCGGAAGAGGCGAGUGGAACUCCUGGUGUAGCGGUGGAAUGCGCAGAUAUCAGGAAGAACACCGACGGCGAAGGCAGCUCGCUGGGACGGUACUGACGCUGAGGCGCGAAAGCGUGGGGAGCGAACAGG
This 253-nucleotide ribosomal RNA is filed under the name uncultured bacterium. RNAcentral describes it as "partial 16S ribosomal RNA". It matches the Rfam family "Bacterial small subunit ribosomal RNA", at positions 524 to 776 of the family's 1533-position model. The record is from RNAcentral.